UACGUAGGGGGCAAGCGUUGUCCGGAAUCAUUGGGCGUAAAGCGCGUGUAGGCGGUUUGGUAAGUCCGCUGUGAAAGUCCAGGGCUCAACCCUGGAAAGCCGGUGGAUACUGUCAGACUAGAGUACGGGAGAGGCGAGUGGAAUUCCUGGUGUAGCGGUGAAAUGCGCAGAGAUCAGGAGGAACACCAAUUGCGAAGGCAGCUCGCUGGGACGUUACUGACGCUGAGACGCGAAAGCGUGGGGAGCAAACAGG
This 253-nucleotide ribosomal RNA is filed under the name uncultured bacterium. RNAcentral describes it as "partial 16S ribosomal RNA". It matches the Rfam family "Bacterial small subunit ribosomal RNA", at positions 524 to 776 of the family's 1533-position model. The record is from RNAcentral.